RNAcentral lists this ribosomal RNA (460 nucleotides) under uncultured bacterium. RNAcentral's name for it is "partial 16S ribosomal RNA". It matches the Rfam family "Bacterial small subunit ribosomal RNA", at positions 338 to 795 of the family's 1533-position model. The record is from RNAcentral.
CCUACGGGAGGCAGCAGUGAGGAAUAUUGGUCAAUGGCCGGAAGGCUGAACCAGCCAUGCCGCGUGAAGGUCAGUGCCCUAUGGGCGUUAAACUUCUUUUGUGCGGGAGCAAUAAUGGUCACGUGUGGCCAGACGAGAGUACCGUACGAAUAAGCAUCGGCUAACUCCGUGCCAGCAGCCGCGGUAAUACGGGGGAUGCAAGCGUUAUCCGGAUUUAUUGGGUUUAAAGGGUGCGUAGGCUGUGAGGUAAGUCAGCGGUGAAAUGCCCCCGCUCAACGGGGUGAAGUGCCAUUGAUACUGCCUGGCUGGAAUGCGGAUGCCGGGGGAGGAAUGUGUGGUGGAGCGGUGAAAUGCAUAGAUAUCACACAGAACACCGAUUGCGAAGGCAUCUCACGAAUCCGCGAUUGACGCUGAUGCACGAAAGCGUGGGUAUCAAACAGGAUUAGAUACCCGAGUAGUC